RNAcentral lists this ribosomal RNA (301 nucleotides) under uncultured bacterium. RNAcentral describes it as "partial 16S ribosomal RNA". It matches the Rfam family "Bacterial small subunit ribosomal RNA", at positions 509 to 809 of the family's 1533-position model. The record is from RNAcentral.
CAGCAGCCGCGGGAAUACGAAGGGGGCUAGCGUUGUUCGGAUUUACUGGGCGUAAAGCGCACGUAGGCGGAUCGAUCAGUCAGGGGUGAAAUCCCAGAGCUCAACUCUGGAACUGCCUUUGAUACUGUCGAUCUGGAGUAUGGAAGAGGUGAGUGGAAUUCCGAGUGUAGAGGUGAAAUUCGUAGAUAUUCGGAGGAACACCAGUGGCGAAGGCGGCUCACUGGUCCAUUACUGACGCUGAGGUGCGAAAGCGUGGGGAGCAAACAGGAUUAGAUACCCGGGUAGUCCUGUCUCUUAUACA